AUCCCUGUAGCGCAAUGGAUAGCGUUGGAUUUCUAAUCCAAAGGUCGUUGUCUCGAAUACCACCUGGGAUG
This is a non-coding RNA of Trichonephila inaurata madagascariensis, 71 nucleotides long. The record is from the annotation of a GenBank genome assembly. NCBI's taxonomy places the organism in Eukaryota, Metazoa, Arthropoda, Arachnida, Araneae, Nephilidae.